GGUCGAGUCGGCCUGCGCGGAAGAUGUAACGGGGCUAAACCAUGCACCGAAGCUGCGGCAGCGACACUAUGUGUUGUUGGGUAGGGGAGCGUUCUGUAAGCCUGUGAAGGUGUGCUGUGAGGCAUGCUGGAGGUAUCAGAAGUGCGAAUGCUGACAUAAGUAACGAUAAAGCGGGUGAAAAGCCCGCUCGCCGGAAGACCAAGGGUUCCUGUCCAACGUUAAUCGGGGCAGGGUGAGUCGACCCCUAAGGCGAGGCCGAAAGGCGUAGUCGAUGGGAAACAGGUUAAUAUUCCUGUACUUGGUGUUACUGCGAAGGGGGGACGGAGAAGGCUAUGUUGGCCGGGCGACGGUUGUCCCGGUUUAAGCGUGUAGGCUGGUUUUCCAGGCAAAUCCGGAAAAUCAAGGCUGAGGCGUGAUGACGAGGCACUACGGUGCUGAAGCAACA
RNAcentral lists this ribosomal RNA (445 nucleotides) under Enterococcus faecalis. Its description in RNAcentral is "partial 23S ribosomal RNA". It matches the Rfam family "Bacterial large subunit ribosomal RNA", at positions 1147 to 1595 of the family's 2925-position model. The record is from RNAcentral. Lineage: Bacteria; Bacillati; Bacillota; Bacilli; Lactobacillales; Enterococcaceae.